This is a microRNA precursor of Neotoma lepida (desert woodrat), 68 nucleotides long. It matches the Rfam family "mir-302 microRNA precursor family". The record is from Rfam. NCBI's taxonomy places the organism in Eukaryota, Metazoa, Chordata, Mammalia, Rodentia, Cricetidae.
UCCUUUCUUUAACAUGGAGGCACUUGCUGUGAGUUUAUAAAAAUAAGUGCUCCAUGUUUCAGUGUGGU